This 1381-nucleotide ribosomal RNA is filed under the name uncultured bacterium. Its description in RNAcentral is "bacterial SSU rRNA". It matches the Rfam family "Bacterial small subunit ribosomal RNA", at positions 18 to 1394 of the family's 1533-position model. The record is from RNAcentral.
CCUGGCUCACGAUGAACGCUAGCUACAGGCUUAACACAUGCAAGUCGAGGGGCAGCAUGGUCUUAGCUUGCUAAGACUGAUGGCGACCGGCGCACGGGUGAGUAACACGUAUCCAACCUGCCGUCUACUCUUGGACAGCCUUCUGAAAGGAAGAUUAAUACAAGAUGGCAUCAUGAGUCCGCAUGUUCACAUGAUUAAAGGUAUUCCGGUAGACGAUGGGGAUGCGUUCCAUUAGAUAGUAGGCGGGGUAACGGCCCACCUAGUCUUCGAUGGAUAGGGGUUCUGAGAGGAAGGUCCCCCACAUUGGAACUGAGACACGGUCCAAACUCCUACGGGAGGCAGCAGUGAGGAAUAUUGGUCAAUGGGCGAGAGCCUGAACCAGCCAAGUAGCGUGAAGGAUGACUGCCCUAUGGGUUGUAAACUUCUUUUAUAAAGGAAUAAAGUCGGGUAUGGAUACCCGUUUGCAUGUACUUUAUGAAUAAGGAUCGGCUAACUCCGUGCCAGCAGCCGCGGUAAUACGGAGGAUCCGAGCGCUAUCCGGAUUUAUUGGGUUUAAAGGGAGCGUAGAUGGAUGUUUAAGUCAGUUGUGAAAGUUUGCGGCUCAACCGUAAAAUUGCAGUUGAUACUGGAUAUCUUGAGUGCAGUUGAGGCAGGCGGAAUUCGUGGUGUAGCGGUGAAAUGCUUAGAUAUCACGAAGAACUCCGAUUGCGAAGGCAGCCUGCUAAGCUGCAACUGACAUUGAGGCUCGAAAGUGUGGGUAUCAAACAGGAUUAGAUACCCUGGUAGUCCACACGGUAAACGAUGAAUACUCGCUGUUUGCGAUAUACUGCAAGCGGCCAAGCGAAAGCGUUAAGUAUUCCACCUGGGGAGUACGCCGGCAACGGUGAAACUCAAAGGAAUUGACGGGGGCCCGCACAAGCGGAGGAACAUGUGGUUUAAUUCGAUGAUACGCGAGGAACCUUACCCGGGCUUAAAUUGCAGAUGAAUUACGGUGAAAGCCGUAAGCCGCAAGGCAUCUGUGAAGGUGCUGCAUGGUUGUCGUCAGCUCGUGCCGUGAGGUGUCGGCUUAAGUGCCAUAACGAGCGCAACCCUUGUUGUCAGUUACUAACAGGUUCCGCUGAGGACUCUGACAAGACUGCCAUCGUAAGAUGUGAGGAAGGUGGGGAUGACGUCAAAUCAGCACGGCCCUUACGUCCGGGGCUACACACGUGUUACAAUGGGGGGUACAGAGGGCCGCUACCACGCGAGUGGAUGCCAAUCCCCAAAACCUCUCUCAGUUCGGACUGGAGUCUGCAACCCGACUCCACGAAGCUGGAUUCGCUAGUAAUCGCGCAUCAGCCACGGCGCGGUGAAUACGUUCCCGGGCCUUGUACACACCGCC